GGGGUUGUAGCUCUGUGGUAGAGUGCUUGCCUUUCAUGCAUGGGCACUAGGUUCAAUCCUCACCACCA
RNAcentral lists this transfer RNA (68 nucleotides) under Ictidomys tridecemlineatus (thirteen-lined ground squirrel). Its description in RNAcentral is "Spermophilus tridecemlineatus (thirteen-lined ground squirrel) tRNA". It matches the Rfam family "tRNA". From Rfam's summary of the family: Transfer RNA (tRNA) molecules are approximately 80 nucleotides in length. Their secondary structure includes four short double-helical elements and three loops (D, anti-codon, and T loops). Lineage: Eukaryota; Metazoa; Chordata; Mammalia; Rodentia; Sciuridae. RNAcentral also lists the same sequence under 1 other name. The record is from Rfam by way of RNAcentral.